UAUAGAGCUGUUCGAGAGACUUUGGUGGAUGAAGGUUCAUUUGUGAUUGCUCAAGACUGCCUAGUUACUUGUUCAUAGUGAGGGGAGGUACUUUUUGCAUAUUCUUAAAUAUAUACAAACAAAUUACUCUGGAUCCCGGAUAUAAAGUGUAUUUUUUGUAAUUGUACCUGUAUGUUAGCCUGUUAGGUACAGUAUCCGAUCAUAGAUACACUUAUAGGGUUUGUUAUUGGCUAACAUAUGUACAGAGUACAGACUGUGAUCUAAUUGGUUAAAUAUACAUCCUGGGCUGGUGCUAGAAGGAAGGUUUGAUUGCAUGGACCAGAUUUUGGAUUGUAUGUAUAGUUGUAUACAAAAUCAAUAUGUUAUUUGUUAUAGAUAGCGGUGAAAGUAUACAAAAUUUUAUACCCCGCCCCCCUUUUUCUUUGCUAAUUUACUAUGUGUCAUACUAUUGUGGCAUCUCAUCUUUUGAAAUUAAUUUUUCUUGUUUCCUGUUACUGCUGAUUGAACUACAUUUGGCUAGAGGUAUUCAUAGUUCACGUGCUUGAUAUAUGGAGCGAAUGCCUAAUAUAGAUAGGGCAAAUAAUCCUGGCGCUUGCAUUAUUGACUCAAUACAUCUCCCUGUCUCUUAGUAAUUUUCGACUCUUUACCAAAAACACAGGUCUCCACAAAGCACUACACUUAGAUUAUUAGAUUUGUUGCUAAAAUACUUGGUAAUUUACAUCUUUGAAUUAGUAGCUUUACCCAUGUUUAGGAGAUAAAUCUGAUGCUAAGUUGGUGAUAAACAUAUAGCCAAAUUUGUGAUAUAUCCUAUACUAUUGACCGCUUAAUUCAAAGCUUGGAUUUUUGAUGCUUUAGGGAGUACCUCAAUUGGAAUUUAAUUGAGUGACUCACCAGUAAACUGCUGGCUUCACUUUACCAAACACUUUGGAUGAAUGUUAGUGGGAUAGAGAAACGAGAGUAAUCAUCAUGAGUGCAGUAAAACAUGCGCAGUAAUAAAUGCUGAUUACACGUUCUCCUAUUAAAAUGUUGUGCAUGUAAACCCACUAAUAAUACAUCCGUUUGAAACAUAUUCUCUUCACAUUCUCUGAAUAUUUGAAAUAAAAAUCAAGAUCAAAUCUCUCGAAUUUUAAACUCUGAGAUUUAAGUCAAAGAAAAUAAAUUUCUGCAAACCUCAGAAUAAAGACAUAAUUUUCAGAAUAUUCAUCAAUAAAUCAGAGUUUGUUCUAAAAUCCAUAGCUCAAUAAUGUGCCUGUGAAAUGUGUGUGUGGUCAUGUUAAAUCAGAGAAUAUAAAAUUUCACAAUUUCGUAAUUAUAAGGUAGACAAAAAUAAUUUAUGCAAACUCUCAAAAUUUAGACUGAGACAUACUCUGAUGAUUCAGAUAAAAACCUACAUUCUUCUGGGGUCCGGUCGAGAGCUACUCUUCAUCUUGGUUACUUUUGUAUAGAGCUGUUCGAGAGACUUUGGUGGAUGAAGGUUCAUUUGUGAUUGCUCAAGACUGCCUAGUUACUUGUUCAUAGUGAGGGGAGGUACUUUUUGCAUAUUCUUAAAUAUAUACAAACAAAUUACUCUGGAUCCCGGAUAUAAAGUGUAUUUUUUGUAAUUGUACCUGUAUGUUAGCCUGUUAGGUACAGUAUCCGAUCAUAGAUACACUUAUAGGGUUUGUUAUUGGCUAACAUAUGUACAGAGUACAGACUGUGAUCUAAUUGGUUAAAUAUACAUCCUGGGCUGGUGCUAGAAGGAAGGUUUGAUUGCAUG
RNAcentral lists this long non-coding RNA (1756 nucleotides) under Daucus carota (carrot). Its description in RNAcentral is "long non-coding RNA (DCAR_LNC003094)". The record is from RNAcentral. Lineage: Eukaryota; Viridiplantae; Streptophyta; Magnoliopsida; Apiales; Apiaceae.